Molecule: transfer RNA, 71 nt
Filed under: Scolytinae sp. BMNH 1040319
Lineage: Eukaryota; Metazoa; Arthropoda; Insecta; Coleoptera; Curculionidae
Description: tRNA-Met
Source: RNAcentral
AAACAGGUAAGCUAAACAAGCUAAUGGAUUCAUACCCCAUUUAUAAAGGCCAUUUACCCCUUUCCUUUUUA